GCACCACAACAGGUGGAGCCUGCGGUUUAAUCGGACUCAACGCCGGGAAACUCACCAGAUAAGACAGCUGAAUGAUAGUCGGGCUGAAGACUCUACUUGACUAGCUGAGAGGAGGUGCAUGGCCGUCGUCAGUUCGUACUGUGAAGCAUCCUGUUAAGUCAGGCAACGAGCGAGACCCACGCCAACAGUUGCCAGCUCGUCCUCCGGGAUGGUGGGGACACUGUUGGGACCGCCUCUGCUAAAGAGGAGGAAGGAAUGGGCAACGGUAGGUCAGCAUGCCCCGAAUUAUCUGGGCUACACGCGGGCUACAAUGGGUGGGACAAUGGGUAUCGACACCGAAAGGUGAAGGCAAUCUCCUAAACCCAUCCGUAGUUCGGAUUGUGGGCUGCAACUCGCCCACAUGAAGCUGGAAUCUGUAGUAAUCGUGUCUCAAAAUGGCACGGUGAAUAUGUCCCUGCUCCUC
Molecule: ribosomal RNA, 463 nt
Filed under: uncultured Methanomicrobiales archaeon
Lineage: Archaea; Methanobacteriati; Methanobacteriota; Methanomicrobia; Methanomicrobiales
Description: bacterial SSU rRNA
Rfam family: Archaeal small subunit ribosomal RNA
Source: RNAcentral